AGUGAACGCUGGCGGUAGGCCUAACACAUGCAAGUCGAACGGCAGCACAGUAAGAGCUUGCUCUUACGGGUGGCGAGUGGCGGACGGGUGAGGAAUACAUCGGAAUCUACUUUUUCGUGGGGGAUAACGUAGGGAAACUUACGCUAAUACCGCAUACGACCUACGGGUGAAAGUAGGGGAUCUUCGGACCUUGCGCGAUUGAAUGAGCCGAUGUCGGAUUAGCUAGUUGGCGGGGUAAAGGCCCACCAAGGCGACGAUCCGUAGCUGGUCUGAGAGGAUGAUCAGCCACACUGGAACUGAGACACGGUCCAGACUCCUACGGGAGGCAGCAGUGGGGAAUAUUGGACAAUGGGCGCAAGCCUGAUCCAGCCAUGCCGCGUGGGUGAAGAAGGCCUUCGGGUUGUAAAGCCCUUUUGUUGGGAAAGAAAAGCAGCAGGUUAAUACCCCGCUGUUCUGACGGGACCCAAAGAAUAAGCACCGGCUAACUUCGU
RNAcentral lists this ribosomal RNA (491 nucleotides) under uncultured bacterium. Its description in RNAcentral is "partial 16S ribosomal RNA". It matches the Rfam family "Bacterial small subunit ribosomal RNA", at positions 29 to 506 of the family's 1533-position model. The record is from RNAcentral.